Molecule: ribosomal RNA, 535 nt
Filed under: Salmonella enterica subsp. enterica serovar Muenchen
Lineage: Bacteria; Pseudomonadati; Pseudomonadota; Gammaproteobacteria; Enterobacterales; Enterobacteriaceae
Description: partial 23S ribosomal RNA
Rfam family: Bacterial large subunit ribosomal RNA
Source: RNAcentral
UAAGCCUGUGAAGGUGGCCUGUGAGGGUUGCUGGAGGUAUCAGAAGUGCGAAUGCUGACAUAAGUAACGAUAAAGCGGGUGAAAAGCCCGCUCGCCGGAAGACCAAGGGUUCCUGUCCAACGUUAAUCGGGGCAGGGUGAGUCGACCCCUAAGGCGAGGCCGAAAGGCGUAGUCGAUGGGAAACGGGUUAAUAUUCCCGUACUUGGUGUUACUGCGAAGGGGGGACGGAGAAGGCUAUGUUGGCCGGGCGACGGUUGUCCCGGUUUAAGCGUGUAGGUGUGUGUUCCAGGUAAAUCCGGUUCACUUUAACACUGAGGCGUGAUGACGAGGCACUACGGUGCUGAAGCAACAAAUGCCCUGCUUCCAGGAAAAGCCUCUAAGCAUCAGGUAACACGAAAUCGUACCCCAAACCGACACAGGUGGUCAGGUAGAGAAUACCAAGGCGCUUGAGAGAACUCGGGUGAAGGAACUAGGCAAAAUGGUGCCGUAACUUCGGGAGAAGGCACGCUGACACGUAGGUGAAGUGAUUUACUCA